This 342-nucleotide unclassified non-coding RNA is filed under the name soil metagenome. RNAcentral's name for it is "partial contains 5.8S ribosomal RNA, internal transcribed spacer 2, and large subunit ribosomal RNA". The stretch from base 1 to 120 matches the Rfam family "5.8S ribosomal RNA", at positions 35 to 154 of the family's 154-position model. The record is from RNAcentral.
GAUGAAGAACGCAGUGAAAUGCAAUAAGUAAUGUGAAUUGCAGAAUUCAGUGAAUCAUCGAAUCUUUGAACGCACAUUGCGCCCGCCAGCAUUCUGGCGGGCAUGCCUGUUCGAGCGUCAUUUCAACCCUCGAGCCCCCCCGGGGGCCUCGGUGUUGGGGGACGGCACACCAGCCGCCCCCGAAAUGCAGUGGCGACCUCGCCGCAGCCUCCCCUGCGUAGUAGCACACACCUCGCACCGGAGCGCGGAGACGGUCACGCCGUAAAACGCCCAACUUCUUAGAGUUGACCUCGGAUCAGGUAGGAAUACCCGCUGAACUUAAGCAUAUCAAUAAGCGGAGGA